AUGUUGCUGUUGGAGACUUUUAUUCUGGCUACAGUUUGCUCCUAUGGCUCCUCACAAGUGCAUCUGACCCAGCCUCAACAGUCCAUCACCAGGGAAGAAAAUAAAACCAUACGAAUUGACUGCCAUGUUUCUCUUUCAGAGGAUUUUGGCAAAGCUACUAUACACUGGUAUAGACAGAGAUCCGAUGCAGCUCCAGAGCGGAUUCUGUUCAUCUCAAAGCAAUCUGUCUUGGACGGAGACUCGGAUAAAGGAAAGUUUAAUGCUGAAAAGAAGCUUGGCCAGUCUACCUGUACCCUGACCAUAAACAAAAUAACCUCCAAUGACAUUGCUACUUACUAUUGUGCCUAUUGGGAUCACACAGUGUUAGAAAACUGUAGACAGCCUGUAUAAAAACCCACUCUGCAUUCUGAGCCAUAGCCUUUUGCAUUUAUGAAGCAAUUGUCACCUC
Non-coding RNA from Gopherus flavomarginatus (Mexican gopher tortoise), 448 nucleotides. The record is from the annotation of a RefSeq genome assembly. NCBI's taxonomy places the organism in Eukaryota, Metazoa, Chordata, Testudines, Testudinidae.